UGGGGAAUAUUGCACAAUGGGCGCAAGCCUGAUGCAGCCAUGCCGCGUGUAUGAAGAAGGCCUUCGGGUUGUAAAGUACUUUCAGUCGGGAGGAAGGUGUCAAGGUUAAUAACCUUGGCAAUUGACGUUACCGACAGAAGAAGCACCGGCUAACCCCGUGCCAGCAGCCGCGGUAAUACGGAGGGUGCAAGCGUUAAUCGGAAUUACUGGGCGUAAAGCGCACGCAGGCGGUUGAUUGAGUCAGAUGUGAAAUCCCCGGGCUUAACCCGGGAAUUGCAUCUGAUACUGGUCAGCUAGAGUCUUGUAGAGGGGGGUAGAAUUCCAUGUGUAGCGGUGAAAUGCGAAGAGAUCUGGAGGAAUACCGGUGGCGAAGGCGGCCCCCUGGACAAAGACUGACGCUCAGGUGCGAAAGCGUGGGGAGCAAACAGG
RNAcentral lists this ribosomal RNA (429 nucleotides) under Chloroflexota bacterium. RNAcentral's name for it is "Chloroflexi bacterium partial 16S ribosomal RNA". It matches the Rfam family "Bacterial small subunit ribosomal RNA", at positions 355 to 776 of the family's 1533-position model. The record is from RNAcentral. Lineage: Bacteria; Bacillati; Chloroflexota.